UCCCCAGGGACGGAGCCCGGCGGGAAAGUGAAGAUCGGGGCCUCGUCACCAGCAUCGAUAAAUGUCACCUGCCCCCGGUCACAGUCCAGACAAACCCGGAUCCUGCUGGGGAACCGGCUUAGGGGCAGGCGGGUCACAGGGGAGACGGCAGAGUGUCUGGAGGCAGAAAUGAUAAGAGAGGCAUCUCUCAGCAAUGGAACCAGCAUCCUUGCAGCCUCACAACUAUCCCAAGACACACAAUAUG
Molecule: non-coding RNA, 244 nt
Organism: Chrysemys picta bellii (western painted turtle)
Lineage: Eukaryota; Metazoa; Chordata; Testudines; Emydidae
Source: RefSeq, a predicted model, not a curated record